Molecule: ribosomal RNA, 254 nt
Filed under: uncultured bacterium
Lineage: Bacteria
Description: partial 16S ribosomal RNA
Rfam family: Bacterial small subunit ribosomal RNA
Source: RNAcentral
UACGGGGGGGGGCAAGCGUUGUUCGGAAUUACUGGGCGUAAAGGGCUCGUAGGCGGCCAACUAAGUCAUACGUGAAAUCCCUCGGCUUAACCGGGGAACUGCGUCUGAUACUGGAUGGCUUGAGUUCGGGAGAGGGAUGCGGAAUUCCAGGUGUAGCGGUGAAAUGCGUAGAUAUCUGGAGGAACACCGGUGGCGAAGGCGGCAUCCUGGACCGAUACUGACGCUGAGGAGCGAAAGCGUGGGGAGCGAACAGG